Molecule: ribosomal RNA, 253 nt
Filed under: uncultured bacterium
Lineage: Bacteria
Description: partial 16S ribosomal RNA
Rfam family: Bacterial small subunit ribosomal RNA
Source: RNAcentral
UACAGAGGGUGCAAGCGUUGUUCGGAAUUACUGGGCGUAAAGCGCGUGUAGGCGGUUUGAUAAGUCAGACGUGAAAUCCCUCAGCUUAACUGAGGAAUUGCAUCUGAUACUGUCAGACUUGAGUAUCGGAGGGGACGGUGGAAUUCCUGGUGUAGAGGUGAAAUUCGUAGAUAUCAGGAGGAACACCUGUGGCGAAGGCGACCAUCUGGAAGAUUACUGACGCUGAGACGCGAAAGCAUGGGGAGCAAACAGG